This 397-nucleotide ribosomal RNA is filed under the name uncultured beta proteobacterium. Its description in RNAcentral is "bacterial SSU rRNA". It matches the Rfam family "Bacterial small subunit ribosomal RNA", at positions 114 to 507 of the family's 1533-position model. The record is from RNAcentral. Lineage: Bacteria; Pseudomonadati; Pseudomonadota; Betaproteobacteria.
UGUAUCGGAACGUGCCCAGUAGCGGGGGAUAACUACGCGAAAGCGUAGCUAAUACCGCAUACGCCCUACGGGGGAAAGCAGGGGAUCGUAAGACCUUGCACUAUUGGAGCGGCCGAUAUCGGAUUAGCUAGUUGGUGGGGUAACGGCUCACCAAGGCGACGAUCCGUAGCUGGUUUGAGAGGACGACCAGCCACACUGGGACUGAGACACGGCCCAGACUCCUACGGGAGGCAGCAGUGGGGAAUUUUGGACAAUGGGGGAAACCCUGAUCCAGCCAUCCCGCGUGUGCGAUGAAGGCCUUCGGGUUGUAAAGCACUUUUGGUGGGAACGAAACGGUCCGGGCCAAUACCCUGGACUAAUGACGGUACCUGCAGAAUAAGCACCGGCUAACUACGUG